CGUAGGGUGCGAGCGUUGUCCGGAAUUAUUGGGCGUAAAGAGCUUGUAGGCGGUUUGUCGCGUCUGCUGUGAAAAUCCGGGGCUCAACCCCGGACUUGCAGUGGGUACGGGCAGACUAGAGUGUGGUAGGGGAGACUGGAAGUUCCUGGUGUAGCGGUGGAAUGCGACAGAUAUCAGGAGGAACACCGAUGGCGAAGGCAGGUCUCUGGGCCACUACUGACGCUGAGAAGCGAAAGCAAUGGGGAGCGAACAGGAUU
Molecule: ribosomal RNA, 257 nt
Filed under: uncultured bacterium
Lineage: Bacteria
Description: partial 16S ribosomal RNA
Rfam family: Bacterial small subunit ribosomal RNA
Source: RNAcentral